CCUACGGGUGGCUGCAGUGGGGGAUAUUGGACAAUGGGCGCAAGCCUGACCCAGCGACGCCGCGUGAGUGAAGAAGGACCUCGGGUUGUAAACUUCUUUUGGCAGGGACGAAACAAAUGACGGUACCUGACUAAUAAGCCCCGGCUAACUACGUGCCAGCAGCCGCGGUAAUACGUAGGGGGCAAGCGUUAUCCGGAUUUACUGGGUGUAAAGGGCGUGUAGCCGGUGAAGCAAGUCUGAUGUGAAAUGCGAGGGCUCAACCCCCGGACUGCACUGGAAACUGUGUUUCUUGAGUGAAGGAGAGGCAGGCGGAAUUCCGGGUGUAGCGGUGAAAUGCGUAGAUAUAAGGAGGAACACCAGUGGCGAAGGCGGCCUGCUGGACAGUAACUGACGUUGAGGCUCGAAAGCGUGGGGAGCAAACAGGAUUAGAUACCCCGGUAGUC
This 443-nucleotide ribosomal RNA is filed under the name uncultured bacterium. RNAcentral describes it as "partial 16S ribosomal RNA". It matches the Rfam family "Bacterial small subunit ribosomal RNA", at positions 338 to 795 of the family's 1533-position model. The record is from RNAcentral.